Long non-coding RNA from Alnus glutinosa, 948 nucleotides. RefSeq lists it as uncharacterized. The record is from RefSeq and is a predicted model, not a curated record. Lineage: Eukaryota; Viridiplantae; Streptophyta; Magnoliopsida; Fagales; Betulaceae. The transcript has 3 exons.
GCACACAAAGCAGCCCACGACUUCUUCUUUCUUCUCUUCUUUCUUCUUUUCCUUCUAUUCUUCCUUCUUCUCUGUUCUACCCGAACACACUGAGAGAGACCGAGUAAGAGGGAGAUCAGAGAGGGGGGUUGAGAGCAGAGAGUGAGAUCGAGAGAAAGAGAGACUGAGAGAUCGAGAGAGAGCUAGACUCGGAGAGGGAAAGAACCGGCGGGCCCGUGAACCAGGGUAGGCCGAUCCUCCAUGGGUCGUCGUCGACGAAGCCAAAGCCAAGGAUUUCCGGUGACCCGAGCAACCACAAACCCGAGAGAGAAGACCCGUAACCCAUGCGACCCGUGACCCAGAUUGAACAAAGGGAGACCCGAUCGUGGAGGACCCGACCAGUGGGUCGACGGCGGCGGUUCCAGUGGAUUUCCGGCGAAGACCCGUUGACCCACGAAGGCCCGUAGCCCAGAAUCCCUCAGACCCGCGACCCAUGACCCGUUGAACCCGUGAGGAAGACCCGGUCCUCCAGGAGCGAUUUUCCGGCGACUGCCAGUGGCGUUCUCCGGCGGAUUUGUUGAGGAAAAUCCCCAAGGAUCAUGUUCGGAUUGGAGACUUUAAUUGGUUCUCCAAUGUAGAGUCCAAGUGACUAGAGUCCAAGGAGUGUUCGAGUUGGAGUCCAAUGCAGCCAAGAUGAUGUUUCUUUGGCUGCAGGUACUACGGUAUAGUCGAUGGGUCGGUAGCAGUGUGCUUGGGAUAUUAUGACUGAAGCUCGCCGUGACAGUUGUAAUUGUCGGACCACGGGUUGUCCACUAUUUUAUAGGUUUGGUAUGGCUUGUGACGUUUGUGUCACUUAUUCUUUGUUAAGCCAUUAUUGUUAUAGUGUUAAUAAGACUCAAACAGAUAGAUGUUAAAUGGCUCUUUGUUGUAAUUAAUUUGUGAUAGAUGUAUAAGUUGUAAUUUCCGCUA